AUAGUACUGUGAAGGAAAGGUGAAAAGCACCCCGGGAGGGGAGUGAAAGAGAACCUGAAACCCUGUGCUUACAAGCACUUAGAGCACGUCAAAGUGUGAUAAGGUACCUAUUGUAGAAUGGUCCGGCGAGUUAUUGUAUGCAGCGAGGUUAAGUAGUUCAGCUACGGAGCCGAAGUGAGAGCGAGUGUUAACAGCACGUUCAGUUGUAUGCAAUAGACCCGAAACCGGGUGACCUAUCCAUGUCCAGGAUGAAGUGAGGGUAAAACCUCAUGGAGGUCCGAACCCACUCCCGUUGAAAUGGUAGGGGAUGAGGUGUGGAUAGCGGAGAAAUUCCAAUCGAACCCGGAUAUAGCUGGUUCUCCCCGAAAUAGUUUUAGGACUAGCCUCGUGAUUAAGAUUAUCGGAGGUAAAGCACUGAAUGGCCUAGGGGUCGAGAGAUUACCGAAGCCUAUCAAACUCUGAAUGCCGAAUAAUCAUGCACGGGAGUCAGACUGUGUGAGAUAAGUUUCAUAGUCGAAAGGGAAACAGCCCAGACCUACAGCUAAGGUCCCAAAGUACGUUUAAGUGGAAAACGAUGUGAAAUUGCGUAGACAACCAGGAUGUUGGCUUAGAAGCAGCCAUACAUUAAAAGAGUGCGUAAUAGCUCACUGGUCGAGUGACUUUGCGCGGAAAAUUUAACGGGGCUAAAACGUACACCGAAGCUUAGGCUUGUCACUAUGUGACAGGGGUAGGGGAGCGUUGAAUGAGGGGUGAAGUCGUAGCGGAAGCGACGGUGGACUUCAUUCAAGUGAGAAUGCCGGAAUGAGUAGCGAGAAUUAUGUGAGAAUCAUAAUGGCCGAAAGCCUAAGGUUUUUGGAGGAAGGUUCGUCCGCUCCAAGUAAGUCGGAAGCUAAGGUGAGGCUGAAAAGCGUAGCCGAUGCACAAACGGUUGAAAUUCCGUUACCACAGAAAGAUUUAAACUAAGGGACACUUUUGAAGAGCUGAUGCCGGGUGUUGGUUACCCCGGUCGUAAGGGAACGAAAUUAAGUAGUGAAGUCAGCGUGGAUGAAGGCGAGAAAAGCUUGGUGUAUAUCUUAUGUGUCCGUACCGCAAACCGACACAGGUAGGUAGGAAGAGAAUUCUAAGGCCAACGGGAGAAGGGUAGUUAAGGAACUCGGCAAAAUGUCCCCGUAACUUCGGAAUAAGGGGAGGUUUCUACGGAAACCCGCAGAGAAUAGUCCCAGGCAACUGUUUAUCAAAAACACAGCUCUAUGCUAAAUCGAAAGAUGACGUAUAUGGGGUGACGCCUGCCCGGUGCCGGAAGGUUAAGAGGAGGAGUGAGAGCCCUGAAUCGAAGCCCCGGUAAACGGCGGCCGUAACUAUAACGGUCCUAAGGUAGCGAAAUUCCUUGUCAGGU
Molecule: ribosomal RNA, 1396 nt
Filed under: human gut metagenome
Description: bacterial LSU rRNA
Rfam family: Bacterial large subunit ribosomal RNA
Source: RNAcentral